UUUUUAUGGGGGGGGGGGGCUAGGAUGAAAUUUGAAAAAAAUAGGCAGGACAGGAGUUUUGAGUAAAAAAAAAAAAGGCAGGAUGAGACACUUUGCAAAAAAAAAAAGGCAGGAUGACAAUUUAGGUAAAAAAAAAAGUCAGGAUAAACUAAUUAAAAAAAAGGCAGGACCGAAUAGAGUGAAAAAUAAAAAGGCAGGACAGAGAUUACAACUAAAAAAAAAAUGCAGGACCAAAUUUUUCAUCCUAGCCCCCCCC
This 256-nucleotide long non-coding RNA is filed under the name Mytilus galloprovincialis (Mediterranean mussel). The record is from RNAcentral. Lineage: Eukaryota; Metazoa; Mollusca; Bivalvia; Mytilida; Mytilidae.